RNAcentral lists this ribosomal RNA (427 nucleotides) under uncultured bacterium. RNAcentral describes it as "partial 16S ribosomal RNA". It matches the Rfam family "Bacterial small subunit ribosomal RNA", at positions 355 to 774 of the family's 1533-position model. The record is from RNAcentral.
UAGGGAAUCUUCCGCAAUGGGCGAAAGCCUGACGGAGCAACGCCGCGUGAGUGAUGAAGGUCUUAGGAUCGUAAAACUCUGUUAUUAGGGAAGAACAAACGUGUAAGUAACUGUGCACGUCUUGACGGUACCUAAUCAGAAAGCCACGGCUAACUACGUGCCAGCAGCCGCGGUAAUACGUAGGUGGCAAGCGUUAUCCGGAAUUAUUGGGCGUAAAGCGCGCGUAGGCGGCUUUUUAAGUCUGAUGUGAAAGCCCACGGCUCAACCGUGGAGGGUCAUUGGAAACUGGAAAACUUGAGUGCAGAAGAGGAAAGUGGAAUUCCAUGUGUAGCGGUGAAAUGCGCAGAGAUAUGGAGGAACACCAGUGGCGAAGGCGACUUUCUGGUCUGUAACUGACGCUGAUGUGCGAAAGCGUGGGGAUCAAACA